This 566-nucleotide long non-coding RNA is filed under the name Phoenix dactylifera (date palm). Its description in RNAcentral is "long non-coding RNA (PDAC_LNC021493)". Lineage: Eukaryota; Viridiplantae; Streptophyta; Magnoliopsida; Arecales; Arecaceae. The record is from RNAcentral.
AGACCCUAAUGGAUUCAAUCAAUGCAUUUAUAGAUGCAGCUUGUAGGGCUUAUGAGCAACGUCGCCGAUAAGGAACUUUUUGUAGACAUCUGGGGAUCUUCUUUUGUAUACCCUAGGCUAUUUUGAAACACUUUUUGUAGUAGAAAUCAAUACUUGUAAUGAUUUCUUCUUUUACCUAUAUACUGACUUCAAAGGUUUACAAUGAUACAUGAAUACAAUUUCUUUUGAAACCUUGUGUAUGUGCUACUGUGUAUGUGUUUCUUGUGAUGUGCCAUAAAAAUCUCAUAACAUACCUUAAGUAUUCAAAUUCAACACAACUUAUCCAUGCAUAUGACACAGGGGGAGCACAUCUUGUGAUAACUAUGUUAAACAAAAAGAGGAGUCUGAAAUGAAUUCCAAAACAAAGGGGGAGUGAUAUGAAUGACUAAAAUUCUUUAAUAGAAAUAACUUGGACAGGGGAAGCACAACUUGAAUCUCCUUGAGUAGUUCAUAGAAGGAUAAUUUGUCCCCUUCAUUGUUGAUGACAGAAAGGGGGAGUAGAUAUAUAGAAGGGGGAGUAGAACCAA